ACCCUUGUAAUAACUUGGCGUUUAACCCGUAUUACGGCGACUUAGACAUGGCAGGUUGAGGACUGAGGUUAGGAGCCCGUCGCCGGGACGAGGUCAAAAUUUUGCCUCCCGAUCCCGUUUGGGCGCCUCGAAGGCGAUACCCCAUCGCUCUGCCUUCACGUCCCAAGUUUUAUCUUUUCAGCAGGCGAAAAAGAUAGAUAGGUUGUGAGGAGUUCAUUAACGUGGACAAGAGACAGGUUUAAGUUUUUUUUCAUGUAACCAGCGGAUGAUAACCCGUUCCCGGCUCGAGAAUUUAUCCCGGACAACCAUAUUAAAAUCCCAUCGAGCUUCUCCAUCGUGUCCGAGAUGGCAAGCGUGCUGUCCAGGCGCCUGGGGAAGCGCUCCCUGCUCGGCACCCGCGUCUCUGCCCCCAGCUCCCUGGCGGACGGGGUGCUCGUGACCACCCAGCUCCCCGGCUUGCCGGCCGAUCUCAGCCGAGUGUCUUCCCACGCAGCUCCGCGGGAGGACGGACCGUGCAAGGAGCGAGCGGAGGAGAGCAGCCGGGCGUCGCGCUUCCCGAGCCCCAACCGGCCACAGCUCCACGCGGGACAGCAAUGUAGUUUCUCCCACCUGAGAUGGUCUCGCGUGCUCCCUUGGUCCCAGAACACAGCGCGUUUGCGCUCUGUCCAUCCCGUAUUGACUUCUUCGUGCAACGCCCGCCGCCUUUCCAGAAAGAGAUGCUCUUGUUCCUAUAAAUAGCUGGAGACACAUGAAGCAUAUUUCGGCACGGAUACAUUUCCAUUAACAGAAAUAGACUCAUGGAUGCGUCCAUCAAGAGAAACUGAGACACUCUAUGAAAGAGAAGGAGGUGAGGCUUGGACGCCUCCUCCUCUCUGAAAGAGCAGCGAAUGGAGAAGUCGAGGGGUGCUUCGCCCAGGAAACCGCCAUUCCCCUGUCCCCCUCGGGCUUUCAUGUAAUCCUUUGAUCUACGUGCUGUUCUGCAAAGUCUGCGGUAAUUGGGGGAGCCCUUGCCCCGCGAUGUCACGAAGACCAAGCAAAAUCAGGUCCCAAAACCAAAUAGACAAAUUCAUUGGAGAAAAGUCCAUCCAAAGUCGUCGUGCUUGGAGAUGCGGCUAACGUCUGGCCCAGGAAAUUCUUACGCUUCGGACUGCCAGCGUCCGGGAGCGUGUACCAGGGAAGGACAACCGCUGCCAGCGGCAGGAUUCAGGUGUGGAUGAGCCGAGGCAGCCGCUCCGGUUUUGAAGUACAAACUUUUGGGGACGGGCUCUGCCUUUGCGCUGAAGCCUCCUUCAGUCCCUUCGCCGCCACAGGAUGGAGCAAGGACACGGCGCAGCGUUCCCCUGCUGUAAGGGCCGGCCGGUCGCUCGCCGGCUGGAGCAUCCUCCCGCUGAUGGAAAAACACCGUUCCGAAGGGAGCCAGGGAAAAGGGAGCCAGUUCCUCAGCUGACCGGUCGUCUUCCCCAGCUUGAAAAGCGAACCUUGUUUUCUUAACCCUCUCGAACGCCCAAACUCAGCGCUCCCUCCCUCUUCCAGGAGUGAAGUUUGCACUCUCUGCCUCUCUUCGGGGCUCAUGCACCUGCUCCUUGGCCUCCAGGCCCUUCGGGAGCCCCCACGCCGUUACGUUAGUCAUCUGGCACAACGUCCUGUUGCGGCAGCGUUGCAUCAGGUCCGGGGUUUCCGUGAGGAGCUGCAGGAAGAGGAGGGGGGAAUGCUGCGGUGGGAGGCGAGGCUGAAGACG
This is a long non-coding RNA of Struthio camelus australis, 1738 nucleotides long. Lineage: Eukaryota; Metazoa; Chordata; Aves; Struthioniformes; Struthionidae. The record is from Ensembl.